Molecule: transfer RNA, 71 nt
Filed under: Halichoeres hartzfeldii (Hartzfeld's wrasse)
Lineage: Eukaryota; Metazoa; Chordata; Actinopteri; Labriformes; Labridae
Description: tRNA-Gly
Rfam family: tRNA
About the family: Transfer RNA (tRNA) molecules are approximately 80 nucleotides in length. Their secondary structure includes four short double-helical elements and three loops (D, anti-codon, and T loops). Further hydrogen bonds mediate the characteristic L-shaped molecular structure. tRNAs have two regions of fundamental functional importance: the anti-codon, which is responsible for specific mRNA codon recognition, and the 3' end, to which the tRNAs corresponding amino acid is attached (by aminoacyl-tRNA synthetases). tRNAs cope with the degeneracy of the genetic code in two manners: having more than one tRNA (with a specific anti-codon) for a particular amino acid; and 'wobble' base-pairing, i.e. permitting non-standard base-pairing at the 3rd anti-codon position.
Source: RNAcentral
AUCUUUCUAGUAUAGUGCGAGUGCAGGUGGCUUCCAACCACGAGGUCUUGGUUAAAAUCCAAGGAAAGAUA